RNAcentral lists this ribosomal RNA (747 nucleotides) under uncultured bacterium. RNAcentral describes it as "bacterial LSU rRNA". It matches the Rfam family "Bacterial large subunit ribosomal RNA", at positions 179 to 928 of the family's 2925-position model. The record is from RNAcentral.
GGCGACCCGGGGAACUGAAACAUCUAAGUACCCGGAGGAAGAGAAAACAAAAGUGAUUUCGUUAGUAGCGGCGAGCGAACGCGAAUUAGCCCAAACCAGUACUGUUACGGCAGUGCUGGGGUUGUAGGACUGCGACAUUGUAUGCUGGAUGAACUAGAACACGUUGGAAAGCGUGGCCAAAGACGGUGACAGCCCGGUAUAGGUAAAGAAAGUAAUACAUAGCAGUAUCCUGAGUAGUGCGGGGCACGUGAAACCCUGUAUGAAUCCACCGGGACCAUCCGGUAAGGCUAAAUACUCCUGAGAGACCGAUAGUGAACUAGUACCGUGAGGGAAAGGUGAAAAGAACCCCGAACAGGGGAGUGAAAUAGAUCCUGAAACCAUGCGCUUACAAGCGGUCGGAGCCAUUCGUGGUGACGGCGUGCCUUUUGCAUAAUGAGCCUACGAGUUACUGUUGCUAGCAAGGUUAAGUACUUCAGGUACGGAUCCGUAGCGAAAGCGAGUCUGAAUAGGGCGUAUAGUUAGUAGUAGUAGACGCGAAACCGUGUGAUCUACCCAUGGGCAGGGUGAAGCUGUGGUAACACACAGUGGAGGCCCGAACCCGUUGACGUUGAAAAGUCUUGGGAUGACCUGUGGGUAGGGGUGAAAGGCCAAUCAAACUCGGAAAUAGCUCGUACUCCCCGAAAUGCAUUUAGGUGCAGCGUUGUGUUAGUUUUAUAGAGGUAGAGCUACUGAUUGGAUGCGGGGGCU